Molecule: ribosomal RNA, 1260 nt
Filed under: archaeon DSFBPS_UR1D
Lineage: Archaea
Description: bacterial SSU rRNA
Rfam family: Archaeal small subunit ribosomal RNA
Source: RNAcentral
GAUUAGCCAUGCUAGUCGCACGAGUUCAGACUCGUGGCGAAUAGCUCAGUAACACGUGGCCAAACUACCCUUCGGACCACCAUACCCUCGGGAAACUGAGGCUAAUAGUGCAUACCACACUCAUCCUGGAAUGACGAGUGUGCCAAACGCUCCGGCGCCGAAGGAUGUGGCUGCGGCCGAUUAGGUAGACGGUGGGGUAACGGCCCACCGUGCCAAUAAUCGGUACGGGUCAUGAGAGUGAGAACCCGGAGACGGAAUCUGAGACAAGAUUCCGGGCCCUACGGGGCGCAGCAGGCGCGAAACCUUUACACUGCACGACAGUGCGAUAAGGGAAUCCCAAGUGCACAGGCAUAGAGCCUGUGCUUUUGUACACCCUAGGGCGGUGCACGAAUAAGGGCUGGGCAAGACCGGUGCCAGCCGCCGCGGUAAUACCGGCAGCCCAAGUGAUGGCCGAUCUUAUUGGGCCUAAAGCGUCCGUAGCUGGCCGCACAAGUCCAUCGGGAAAUCCACCUGCCCAACAGGUGGACGCCCGGUGGAAACUGUGUGGCUUGGGACCGGAAGGCGCGACGGGUACGUCCGGGGUAGGAGUGAAAUCCCGUAAUCCUGGACGGACCACCGAUGGCGAAAGCACGUCGCGAAAACGGAUCCGACAGUGAGGGACGAAAGCCAGGGUCUCGAACCGGAUUAGAUACCCGGGUAGUCCUGGCCGUAAACAAUGUCUGUUAGGUGUGGCUCCCACUACGAGUGGGUGCUGUGCCGUAGGGAAGCCGCUAAACAGACCGCCUGGGAAGUACGUCCGCAAGGAUGAAACUUAAAGGAAUUGGCGGGGGAGCACUACAACCGGAGGAGCCUGCGGUUUAAUUGGACUCAACGCCGGACAUCUCACCAGCAUCGACUGUAGUAAUGACGACCAGGUUGAUGACCUUGUCCGAGCUUCAGAGAGGAGGUGCAUGGCCGCCGUCAGCUCGUACCGUGAGGCGUCCUGUUAAGUCAGGCAACGAGCGAGACCCGCAUCCGUACUUGCCAGCAGUACUUCACAGUAGCUGGGGACAGUACGGAGACCGCCGUGGCCAACACGGAGGAAGGAACGGGCAACGGUAGGUCAGUAUGCCCCGAAUGUGCUGGGCAACACGCGGGCUACAAUGGUCGAGACAAAGGGUUCCUACUCCGAAAGGAGACGGUAAUCUCAGAAACUCGAUCGUAGUUCGGAUUGUGGGCUGCAACUCGCCCACAUGAAGCUGGAUUCGGUAGUAAUCGCGU